CCUCCAGCCCCUGGCGCUUGCAGGGAAAAGCUGCCCCUAACCAGCGCUCAUCGGGGUCCACUCUGACCGUGUGUGUUCUCCCCACCCCCAGUGAGGGGCUGCCCCUAGGCGACCUCGGUGCGCUGGGGACCGGGCGCUGGGAGUCCAGAGCGGGCACAACAUAGGCAGGAAAGACUUGGAGGAGGCCAGGGAUCAGAAGCCAGCAGAGCCAGGAAAGGAGAUGCCCUCCUGCACUACUGAUUCACCAGCUGGAGCCUGGAGGAAGAGGGCCCUGCCGAGGAGAGGUUCUGGCCGGGGCAGAUCCUGAGCUGGAGAGAUGCGUGUCCAG
Molecule: long non-coding RNA, 328 nt
Organism: Lontra canadensis (Northern American river otter)
Lineage: Eukaryota; Metazoa; Chordata; Mammalia; Carnivora; Mustelidae
Exons: 3
Source: RefSeq, a predicted model, not a curated record